Molecule: long non-coding RNA, 16724 nt
Filed under: Malus domestica (apple)
Lineage: Eukaryota; Viridiplantae; Streptophyta; Magnoliopsida; Rosales; Rosaceae
Description: long non-coding RNA (MDOM_LNC013620)
Source: RNAcentral
UUUUUUAUGCUUUUGUUAAGCUUCUCACGCUUUACUGCCACUGCCGGGGACUCCUCCAACAUCCUCUCAAUUCCCCCACCGUAAGGUCCCAACAACUCAUUCACAAUCUCAGCUUCCAUCUCUUUGUUCACAAGGUUGAAAACAGACAGCUGCAAGUGCAAUGCCAUGCAGUCCACAAGCCUCCUCAAAACAACCUUCCAAUAAGCAAUCAUUCUCAUUUUAAGGUCAUAAGCUUGAGCUAACACAUGCGGGUACUUCCUCAGAACACCGACUUCCACUUCCCCGAUGCCUUCUAUAUCUAUGAUAGAAGGCUUCUUCUCAUCAGUUAAGACUCCAUGAAUGAAUUCGUUUUGACUAGCCAUCAGCUUGUUCCAUUCGGAAACAUAAUCACCAUCACAUGUAUAAUCUGUCAGCUUUUCCAUCUCUACAAGCUCCAGCAUCCACUUGAUUGACCUCUCCUUCAUCUUGGCCAUUAGACUAUGGCCGGCACGCCUUGCUGACAGCUGCAGCUGAUGAUAGUUAUCCGUAUAAUGCAUCAACACAGAAAUAACCACCUCUUCAAUGUAGUUCCACACUUUUUCCUCAAAUGCAAUCGGAAUACUCGAAAUUUCAUUCACUUUUGCCUGCAAGAUAAUGAGGAAAGCAUUGCGUGGAAGGAAGUUCGGAAGUGAAAUACCUUUGGCCUCCUCCAAGAUCCUGAUCUCCUCCAUCAAGAAGUUGCUCUUUGCAUCAGUUUCAGCACAUCUGUGAAGUUCAUCCGAGUACUGGUUGAGCAUCUCAACCAAUCUAGCAGUGCAGUGCAUGCGAUUGUCUUCCGCGUACUCCUGAAAUUCUCCUCUCAAAAGAAUCUUCCUAAGCGAUUCCUUAGCCAAGCCAGUGAUUUGCAUAAAAGCCGUCAUGGCCUCAGCAACCGAUGAAAGACUCUUUGGCAUUUUGUUCAGCUCCAUAAUGCAGAAGUUCAGCCUGUCAUUGAUCUUCUUCACUAUCUCAGGUAUAUUUCUUGCUAUGCUGUUUGCUUGAAUUUGGACCAGCUUCUGUGCUAAAACUGGAAUGCCGACAAUGGACUUGUCAAUCUUCGAAAGCAGAGGAUGGGUUUGAAAUAGUUCAUGAGCCAUCACCGCUGCCUCCUCAUCAGUUUCGUCACCAAUCCUGUUCCUUACACAGACAUAACCAAGACCAAUGUUUACAUCAUCUCCAGUGACCUUCUCAAGUAGUCCUUCCGGUGCCUUGUCCACUUUCGUAACCACAGCGAGCGUCCUCUCACCAGUUUUAUCUACACUUUGUGACAUCCGGAUUGACUCACACGUAGUAAAAUCCACCGUAGCAGACAAUACAUUCAGAAUAAUACUUUCCUCCGGCUUAAUAUACUCCAUGAUCAUAUCUUUGAUCUGAUCAUAGAUAUUUUCAGGUUGGCCAUGGACUGGAACCCUUGUGAUUCCCGGAAGAUCAACCAUAGUCAGAUCCGGAACCCCAUACUUCUUCACCAACAAAGUAAGUGGCGUGUUUGAAAUUCCCUUACCUCCCCCCGCAAUAGAAUUAGUAGCUUUCACAAUAUCUUUGGUGAUAUUUUCUUCAUCAGUACGAUCAACUCUGCCAUUGUACUCCAAGGAAAGUUCAGGCUGAGGACUCGAGUGGUGUUCGAGCCUCAUAAUAAGAGGCACUCUCGUGCAGAUGCCUUGGCCCCGAGGUAGGCUGAUGCCGGCCAAGGAUUCGAGCACGCUAGACUUCCCGGAUGACUGGUCUCCGACCACCACAAUCGUUGGCAGCUGAAUGCCUUCAUCCAUCACCUUCAAGCUGCGUAACUUGUCUACCGCAUCCAGAAGAGGGCGGAUCUUGUCGUUAUAGGACGACACAAUGGGUGCGCAUUUGAGGGGUACUGCGUCUAGUCCUGCCUGAACCAUUGCGAGGGAGCCUUCACCGUUUAUAACUGUGCGACUCGAUUCCAUUUUCCUUGGUCCUUGCGUUUCUGAAUUAUAGCAAGUCAAAACAAUGGUGAAAAAUCUAGAGGGAAACCGAGAUUGUAGAGAGAUGAGAGAGAAUUCGAAGAUGGAAAAUGUUCUGUAUUGGGUUUAUGACUUAAUGGAGUAAAAUGUUCUAUUUAUAGCUACUGCUAUAUAUCAUUCUUAGCCCUUAAGCAACUUAACUGACUCUCAAUCAACAAUAGCAACACAUCUAACAAAAAUGCUACUUUUCCGAUAUAUUUGUACCAUCAUUUGCUUACAUUGAUAAAUCGGACUCAUACUCAUAAGCUGACAUGGCAGCCACAUGACUUAAAAGUAAGAAGAUUACUUGUCAGCGAAGAUAUCAGUCAGGAAGAAGUGAGAAAGCUGGGUUUAGUAAGUGCCUUAGGCUUAAAGGCUCCUAGUUGUAUGUAUAAUUGUUCAGCAAAACCUAUCGAAGUAAAUGACAACCAGCCUUUUCAAAACCGCAUGCUGAGAGAGUUGUGAUUUGGACUUCCAAACGUUCAGCAAACCAAACCGCUUGCGAGCCUUUGAACUUCUAAACCCUAAUCAGUGUAAAUGUAAUAUGGACAGUUAACUGAUAACCAUUUUUUGUGCUUGAUGCUCUUGAACUUCAGUCAACCUUUAUAUAUUAUUCAUUCAAAUAAUCGAUGACUAGCUAGCCAAUGUAAGUUGUAACCCAACAGAGACGAGAUGUUGAAGAAAAUUAAAUAUUUUUUGUAAUUUGGUAAGACAAACAAAGGCACCCAUUGGAGAAAGGGAAGUGCUAGCAGCCUUUGCCCUAACAUUUGUGUUUGGACCUCUUCACUUUAACAACUAACAGGUAUCAUUUUCUAUACAAAAAAGCAAGAAUUUUAAAGCUUUUGUCUAGGAAUUAACGAUGAGAAAUAUAAAAUAUACAUUAUUAUGUCAUUCAUUAAAAUGAAAAUUUUCAAAUGCAAAAGUUAGUGCAAAAGUGUAUUUCUCUUAGAAAAAUUCAAUCUAACAACCAAAAUUAAAGUUAACAAAAAAAAGUAGAGAACUUAAUUCAUAUUGAAUCUACCCUUAUGAUCGUGCUCCAGAAAAAUUGAGAAGGAUGCAGGGUUUUUGAAUUUGGUAAAGCUUAAGGAUUAAGGUUGCUGUUUUUUUUUUUUUUUUUUUUUUUUUUUUUUUUUUUUGGAGAAAAGUGGAAGAGAAAGAGCCUUUGAAGAUUCCUUUCUGAGUUUUCACAUUGUGGGGAUUUUGUUUCACUUUUACCAUUGUAAGACCAUAGAUAAUGGAUGCUGACAUGGUUGGACAGAUGUCGAAUAGUGGUGUGGUAUGCCCAAUCGGUUUAGGUUGCUGAAAAUAGCAACUUUAACUAAAAAUAGUGCAGGACUUUAAAAGAGGAAGGGGAAAUAAGAGUUUGAGGAAAAAGAGGCAACUUUAAUUCAUCAUUUCAUAGGUUCUUUACGCUCUCCAUUAUUACAUAUUUAUGCUCCUCAUAAAAGAGAAAAUAGAGUUUUAACGAAAAGCCCGCGGUACUGUUCACUUUAAUGAAAAACCACAUUUUUACACUAAAAAGUCAAAUCUGGUACUAUUCAUAUUACUCUUUAUUUUGUUCUUAUCGUUAAAAUUCAAAGUUUUAAAGCAUUUUUCAUUAGUUUUCCUAAGAGAACAACCCUAGCUACUUGGACAUAAAAAAAAAGGCUAGUACGGGCAAGUUGCAAGAGGAGAAGUAGUGGGCUCAAGUAAAUGGGCUUAAUAACUCCCCCCUCUCCUUGAGAAUAGGCCUGACCUUAGGUCAAGAAAUCGAGGUAACGGGCCAAGAUGUCGUCAGCUUCCUCCCAGGUGACAUCUUCAGUGGGUAGGCCAACCCACUUGAUCAACCAUUUUGUCGCAGCUUUAUUUUUUUUUCUUGAAUAUGCCCUUGUCUAAAACUCUUUCUGGUUGCCAGUGUAGAACCCCAGUGGAGUCGAUAGGAGGCAAAACUGACAGUGGAGGAGAAAUACUACCAAUCUUUUGUUUAAGGAGAGACACAUGAAAGACGGGGUGGAUUUUGGAGUCUAAAGGCAAACGAAGCUGAUAUGCUACGAAACUGAUGCGCUUAGUUAUCUGAAAAGGUCCAUAGAACUUGGGUGCCAGCUUGUUUGUUGUUCUAGUAGCCACUGAUUGUUAGCGGUAUGGUUAAAGCUUCAGGUAAACCCAGUCACCAACAUUAAAUUCCCGCUCAGUUCUCUUGUUAUCAUAGACUUGUCUCAUUUUGUUCUCUGCAAGCUGCAAAUUUGUUCUCAUAAGACAGAUUAAUUUGUCCUUAUCCUGUAUUGCAGCAUCAAUUGAGUGUACCGUCGUGGAGCCGAGCAUAUACAUGCAAAGGUGGUUCAAUGUCAUAAACAGCCUGAUAUAGAGACAUUUUGAUGGAAGAUUGGAAGCUUGUAUUAUACCACCAUCUAGCCCAGGGAAUGAGAGAAGACCAAUUGGUGGGUUUGUCUAUUGAGAAACAUCGAAGAAAAUGUUCCAAUGUGCAGUUAAGGACUUUCAUUUGCCUAUUCGUUUGAGGGUGGUAACCUAAACUUAGGCAAAGUUUGUUGCCUUGGAGUUUAAAGAACUCUUGCCAAAAGUUACUAAGAAAAUUGGGUCGCGAUCUGAAACGAUCUAUUUUGGCAUACCAUGGAGUCAGAAAACCUCAUUGCUGAAAGUAUCAGCUACAAAGGCAACUGUGUAUGGGUGCUUUAAUGGGAUAAAGUGGCCAUACUUUGAUAGGCGAUUGAUGACAACUAGGAUCACGGUGUACGCGUUGGAAAAUGGGAGCCCUUUGACAAAAUCAAGAGUGAUGUCCUGUCAUAUGCCAGUGGGGAUGAGCAAGGGAUGCAGUAACCUAGGAGGGUGUUUUGUAUGCAUUAAGCCACAAUUUUUUUUUGUUUCCUUUCGAAUUCCCGGCCAUAAAACUUUUUUGGAGAGUCUUUUGUAUGUUCAAAGGAAGCCCAAGUGACCAUCUUAGAGAGAUGCAUGGAAUUCAUCCAAGAGUUUAGGUUGCCAUUGGGAUGUGAGUAGUGGGACAAAGAUCUGUUGCUUGUAGUGCAACACAUCAUUUAUAAUUGAGAACCCUUUGAUUGAAGUGUUGGGUAUUGGAACUAAAAGAUUCCAAACCUUUUGCACUUCUAGAUCCUAUGCAUAAGACUGUUGCAACUGAGGAAUGCAAUCAAAUAUAGGGGUAGAGAGGCCUAUUAAGAGCAAAAGUUCUUGUUGGCAGGAGAUAGCAUAUGGAGCACUGUUUUGAGAACCCGACCUAUACUCGACCGAGUAGUUGUACCCCAACAAUUUCACCAGCCAUUUUUAAUUUUUUUCACAAAAACUGUAAGUUAUAACUCACGUUUUCCAAUCGAUUUUAAGAACUUUUACAAGAUUCAUUAUAAGCCAAAAUUUGAGUCGUUUUAGUCGCACCACAUGUUUUCUAAAAUUAAUUUAGGACAUCCCAAAUAUUUUUCAACACCUACAAAUUUCUUUGGUGGCUUCACUAUUAGUUUAUACUAUUUUUCUAACUCAUAGUAACAACGAAAAAAUUUCUCAGCAUGACCAAAAUGAUUGAUGGUGCAUCAGAGACUACUUUUAUCGAUUUCAAAUUUGAAGGACUAAAGUAAGGAGUUAUGCCAGAAAGUGGCCCUCUACCACAGUGGUGGAGAGGAGUAUUGGCCUUACACUACGACAGAGCUUCGAACCAUGACGGCUCCCUAAUCUAACAUCUAAUUAAAAAAUCUAUUGUUUGACGAAGAAAAAAAAGUAAGGAGUUAUGUCAAUUUCAAAAUCCGUUUUGGCCCCUUUUUAACAUGGAUGGAGGGUUUCAAAUUCCUUGUUACUACCUUUUAGGGGUUUUAUUAAAUUUUAUGAAUUUUUUUGUUGGUAUAUUUGAGCGUGUCUUUAAAAUGAUUAAAAUUGUUUUAAUAUAAUAAAAUAAAAAGUGUUUAUGACAACAUUUUGACCAAAAAAAGGACUUUAUGGAGAGGUCUAUGAGCAAAAUGCAACUCUUACUACCUAUUUGUACUAUAAUUUGUACCACUAAUAAAGAUGAGACUCACAUGCGUUGGCGAGCCUUACCUCUAUUAGAGAUAUAGUAGAAAUAUAUGGUAAAUGUAGCAUUACUCGUCUAUGAGUGUUUUCAACGGAGUACAAUUCUCUGUCAUCCUAUUCCUAGUGUGGUUUAGUCCAUACUAAGUGUAUGGAUUCUAACAAACGAUCAAUUAAAACAUGAAAUCUAAUAUGGACAUUUAAUUAAAUGUUUAUUAAUAUUUACGGUGCGGUUCGGUUUCGGUGUAGUUUUCAAAAGCCAAAACCGAAACCAAACCGUUUUCUAUGUUGCGGUUCGGUUUCAAAACCGAAACCGUUUCAAAACCGCAAAACCAAACCAUUCGGUGCGGUUUGAUUUGGUUCGUGUUUUGGUUUCGGUUUUCGGUUCUAAGUGCCAAUCCCUAGGAGAGCGUGUCCCUUUUUUUUGAAAAAUAUGGAUCAUUUCCCUUAAGCUCCUCCUACACACACACACACACACACACACACACACACACACACAUAUAUAUAUUAAAAUGAUAACCUUUCUUGGAUAGAACUGAGCAUAUAAACAUGCAAAGGUAAUGUUAGAGAGACCAAAGUUUUAAACAAAAUAAUGUGUUACCAAUAAAAAAUAAGCACGUUAAUCAACGCUAAAGUAAUAAUUCAAUUAUCAAUAAGCACAUCAUUUGGUUUGUAAAUUUGAUUUAAAAAAUUUGGUCUCCCUAACAUUAUCCAACCUGCAAACAAGUUUAAUUAUCUUAGACAAGCAACAUUAUUUACAUAUUUACUUUCAGGCAAUUACAAAUUUGACGUCGAAAAGAAGAUUUAAGGAAAAUGGUUUUCUUAUUAAUUAGGAUUUUUACAAUGCGUGUCGCAUUCUUUACCUAAAGUUUUUAUGUCUGUCAGAUUGGUUAUGAAAGCUCACUGUCAUAUUAAUAAACGGUAUUAUAAGCAGAAAACAUGAGACAAAAAAUAGGAGUUAAACUGUAUGUAAGAGGAAAUCGCACUUAAAUUUCAUUAAUAACAGUAAACUUGACAAGGAUUACCACAAUCAUACGACUACGGACUAUUACACAACAAGAACACAAGGGAAACAAAAGAACUUAAAAACAAAAGUUGACUAACAAACAACCACCCACAUCAGACAACAGAAAGCUAAUUGCCAAGUUAGUUAAUCACCAUAAGUGAUAAUGCUGUCCAUAAUCUUGGCCACCACCUCCUUCGAAUCCCUCAGUUUUUUUAUGCUUUUGUUAAGCUUCUCACGCUUUACUGCCACUGCCGGGGACUCCUCCAACAUCCUCUCAAUUCCCCCACCGUAAGGUCCCAUCAACUCAUUCACAAUCUCAGGCUCCAUCUCUUUGUUCACAAGGUUGAAAACAGACAGCUGCAAGUGCAAUGCCAUGGAGUCCACAAGCCUCCUCAAAACAACCUUCCAAUAAGCAAUCAUUCUCAUUUUAAGGUCAUAAGCUUGAGCUAACACAUGCGGGUACAUCCUCAGAACACCGACUUCCACUUCCCCGAUGCCUUCUAUAGUUAUGAUAGAAGGUUUAUACUCGUCAGUUAAGACUUCAUGAAUGAAUUGAUUUUGACUAGCCAUCAACUUCUUCCAUUCGGAAACAUAAUCAUCAUCACAUGUAUAAUCCGUUAGCUUUUCCAUCUCUACAAGCUCCAGCAUCCACUUGAUUGACCUUUCCUUCAUCUUGGCCAUUAGAUUAUGGCCGGCACGCCUGGCUGACAGCUGCAACUGAUGAUAGUUCUCCGUAUAAUGCAUCAACACAGAAAUAACCACCUCUUCAAUGUAGCUCCACACUUUUUCCUCAAAUGCUAUCGGAAUACUCGAAAUUUCAUUCACUUUUCCUUGCAAGAUAAUGAGGAAAGCAUUGCGUGGAAGGAAGUUCGGAAGUGAAAUACCUUUGGCCUCCUCCAAGAUCUUGAUCCCCUCCAUCAAGAAGUUGCUCUUUGCACCAGUUUCAGCACAUAUGUGAAGUUCAUCCGAGUACUGUUUGAGCAUCUCAACCAAUCUAGCAGUGCAGUGCAUGCGAUUGUCGUCCGCAUAGUCCUCAAAUUCUCCUCUCAAAAAAAUCUUCCUAAGCGAUUCCUUAGCCAAGCCAAUGAUUUGCAUAAAGGCUGUCAUUGCCUCGGCAACAGAUGAAAGACUCUUUGGCAUUUUGUUCAGCUCCAUAAUGCAGAAGUUCAGCCUGUCAUUGAUCUUCUUCACUAUAUCGGGUAUAUUUCUUGCUAUGCUGUUUGCUUGAAUUUGGACCAGCUUCUGUGCUAAAACUGGAAUACCGACAAUGGACUUGUCAAUCUUCGAAAGCAGGGGAUGGGUUUGAAAUAGUUCAUGAGCCAUCGCCGCUGCCUCCUCAUAAGUUUCGUCACCAAUCCUGUUCCUUACACAGACAUAACCAAGACCAAUGUUUACAUCAUCUCCAGUGACCUUCUCAAGUAGUCCUUCCGGUGCCUUGUCCACUUUCGUAACCACAGCGAGCGUCCUCUCACCAGUUUUAUCUACACUUUGUGACAUCCGAAUUGACUCACACGUAGUAAAAUCCACCGUAGCAGACAACACAUUCAGAAUAAUACUUUCUUCCGGCUUAAUAUACUCCAUGAUCAUAUCUUUGAUCUGAUCAUAAAUAUUUUCAGGUUGGCCAUGGACCGGAACCCUUGUGAUUCCCGGAAGAUCAACCAUAGUCAGAUCCGGAACCCCAUUCUUCUUCACCAACAAAGUAAGUGGCGUGUUCGAAAUUCCCUUACCUCCUCCCGCAAUAGAAAUAGUAGCUUUCACAAUGUCUUUGGCGAUAUUGUCUUCAUCAGUACGAUCAACUCUGCCAUUGUACUCCAGGGAAAGUUCAGGCUGAGGACUCGAGUGGUGUUCCAGCCUCAUAAUAAGAGGCACUCUCGUGCAGAUGCCUUGGCCCCGAGGGAGGCUGAUGCCGGCCAAGGAUUCGAGCACGCUGGACUUCCCCGAUGACUGGUCUCCGACCACCACAAUCGUUGGCAGCUGAAUGCCUUCAUCCAUCACCAUCAAGCUGCGUAACUUGUCUACCGCAUCCAGAAGAGGGCGGAUCUUGUCGUUGUAGGAUGACACAAUGGGUGCGCAUUUGAGAGGUACUGCGUCUAGUUCUGCCUGAACCAUGGCGAGGGAGCCUUCACCGUUUAAAUCUGUGCAACUCGAUUCCAUUUGCCUUGGUCCUUCCGUUUCUGAAUUAUAGCAAGUGAAAAUAAUGGUGAAAAUUCUAGAGAGAAACCGAGAUAAUUUCAAGCUUAAUUAGCUAAAGAAUUGAGGUUCUCUGGCAGUUUACCCUCCAGUUUAUAACAUUUUUUUACUAAGAAUGUUUUCAGGUAAGGGAAAACACCACUUUCGUGAUCCAGUAGGAAACGGAGCCUUUCUUUCAACCGCUGCAUUUCCACAAACUCAAGAGACUCUAAUACCCGAAAAGGCAAGUUACGCUCUCCUUAAAACUCAGCACCAAUUCGAAGAUGGAGUAAAAUGUUCUGUAUUGAGUUUGUGACUUAGUGGAGUAAAAUGUCCUAUUUAUAGUGAUGCAGUACAAGACUCUCAUGCAUGUAUUGGAAUCUACCAAGAGUUGGAACCAUCAAAUAUAUUUAAUGGAGUUUUAGAGCAACACAACUAAUUAAGUAGUCAUUUAAGACCAUUUUAAAUAUUUUGGGUAGAGCAAAAGUCCAAUUCGGACUAGAGUUUCAUUGUGUUGUAUUCCUUAUAAAUAUAUGUACUAAUUGUAUUCCUUAAAUGACUACUUAAUUAGUUGUGUUGCUCUAAAACUCCAUUAAAUAUAUUUGAUGGUUCCAACUCUUGGUAGAUUCCAAUACAUGCAUGAGAGUCUUGAUUACUACAUCAUUUAGCUACUGCUAUGUGUCAUUCUUAGCCUUCAAGCAGCUUAACUGACUCUCAGUCAACAAUAACAACACAUCCAACAGCUUAAGGAUUGCUGUUUUUAGUGGAGAAAUGUGGAAGAGAAAGAGCCUUUGAAGAUUCCUUUAUGAGUUUGCACAUUGUGGGAGAUUUUGUUUCACUUUUACCAUUGUCAGGCCAUAAUCAUGGAUGUUGACAUGGUUGGACAGAUGUCGAAUGAUGGUGUCAUUGGGCCCCCACCAUCAAAGAAAAAGCAGUCCCCAUGGGGCAUCUAAGCGGAAAGAGAAUCCAUUAUAGUAUAAAGAUUUAGCAUUCACACUCAUAGCUUCGACAUCAAUCAUUUUCUUCCUUGCCGAUGUUCUUUAUAUUUUGCUUUCUUUAUUUCUUGAUAAGUUGUUUCUGGAUGAUAUUUUUUUAGAAUCUCUUGGAUGUCGUAUGCGUGCUACGUCACUCGUUUGUAUCAAAACACGCAUAAACAUUAUUUCUUUCAAUCGAGAUUUAAAAUUAAAAGUCUACAUACACUUUUUUGUUGUAAUUUGACUGAUGGACCAUAAUGUUGGAUUGUGAACUACCUUAGUACAUAUGUGUAGAAGUGUGGCAGGUGACGUAAGCAUAAAUAAUCAUUUUAACAUGCAUGUUAGCAAAAUGUUAAAUUGUGUUUAAUCAUAUUAAAUUAAUUUAUGUAUUGGUUUUGUUCAGGUAUAAUAAAAUUAAAAACACAUGUAUAAACUUAGUGUAAGUUUUAGGAUUCUCACCUUUAGAUUUCAUAGGUGGACAAAUUCAAUGUUGUUAAAGAUCCCAAGUGUUAGCCCUCAACUAGUGUCUACACGAAUAAAUAUCUGGCUAGUGAAGCAAAAAAACGACAAUUUGCUAGAACUUUAUCCAUCAGGUAGGUGUUGCCAUAAAGGGAUUUGGUAUGGUGUUUUGUUUUUCAAUUCUCUAAAUUGGAAAACCUAUUUCUUUUCUCUCUAAUAUCUAUUUGCGAUUAUUGAAUUCUCACACUAUGUUACAUAGACCCCUUAGGCUUAUAAAAAGAACAAUCUGUAAUUAAGCCAAUUGUGUGUUGCACGCCCUAGGGAAAUUUUUUAGAAACUUUUGGGUUCACUAGUCUGUAUCACGUCACUCGCUUGUCUCAAGAAGAGAUCCUUUCACAUCACCAGUUUACCACACUAAAAUUUUGAAUUUAUUAGAUGGAUAAUACAAUUUGUUUAAUAAAUGACCAACUUUACAAAUAUUUUUGUGAAGUGAUUUCACACAUAUUUUUUAGCUUUUACACACCCAUGUUUAAUUUUAGAUGUUGAUUCCGUUUGAUUUAUUUAAUCUGGUGGCCAUAAAUAAAGAGAGGUACGUGGAAAACUAAAAAUGGUGUGUGAAAAUCCUUGACACUACUAAGCAUGAAUUUUAGUAAGAUGAAAAAAGACCUUCGCUUGAUACCCGUGGGAGGACGUGACAUGACUUCCUUUAUUGAAGGAUGAGGAAUGCUAAUGUGACUUUCAAAAGUAGGACUUUCUAAUGACUCUCUGCCACCUCAUAGCUAGUUUAAUGUCAAUUCAUUCACGUGCCAACAUUAUAACACAAAUGCUAGGAAGGCUACAUUUAUAGACAAAAUUUGUAUACUAAAUGACAUGAAAGUUGAUGAUUAUAUUAUUAUUUAAGCGUUGAUAAACGUGCUCAUUUUCUAUUGGUAACAAGUCAUUUAGUUUUCAAAUUUUGUCUACAAAUUUAGUCUCCAUAGCAUUACCUGCAUUAUAAAGUAUUGUGCCAAAUAUAUGAGCUGACAAAGAGUCCAUAGAGAGUCUCAAUUUUGAGUCUCAUUAGCAUUUAUCUUCAAGAAUUUAUCCACAUUCUCCUCACGUAAUAAUUUCACCAAAAAUGUUUUCUAAAUGCUCACUUAUCAAGAUUAAACCCCCGUUUGGUAUUUUAUUUUUUGGGUAAAAGACUGUUUACUACCCUCAUGUUUCGUGGUUUUCAACAUUUAGUACAUCAUGUUUUUUUCGUCUCAGAGUCAUACCUAAAGUGUAAAUUUUGGGACAGUCUCAUACAUCCGUUAGUCAAACUGUUAAGUUUUUCGUUAACUGUGACGUGGCGCACUGACUGGGCGCCACGUGUCAUCCACGUUUUUUUUUUUUCUUUUUCUUUUUUCUUUCUUUUCUUUUCUUCUUCUUCCUUCUUCUUCUUCUUCCUCCGACUGCAACUUUUUUUUUUUUUUUUGCUUCUUCCUUUUCCUUCUUCCUUCCUUCCUCCUUCCUUUCCCUUUCUUCCCCUUCUUCCUUCUUCUUCCUUCUUCUUCCUCCGAAAUCUGGGGAAUGUUUUUUUUUUUCUUUCUUCUUCUUCCUCCUUCCUUCCCCUUCUUCCUUCUUCUUCUUUCUCCUUCUUCUUCUUCUUCUUCUUCCUCCGAAAUCUGGGGAAGUUUGUUUUUUUUUUUCUUUCUUUCUUCUUCUUCCUCCUUCUUCUUCUUCUUCUUCUUCCUCAAAAAAAAAAAAAAAAAAACACUUUUAUCUUUUCUUCCUCUUCUUCUUCUUCUUCUUCUUCUUUCUCUUUCCUCCUUCCUUCUUCUCCUUCUUCUUCUUCUUCUUCUUCUUCCUCCGAAUCUGCCCAGAUUCAAUUUUUUUUUUCUUCCUCCUUCUUCUCCUUCUUCUUCUUCUUCCUCCGAAUUUGGGGGAAGAUGAAAGUGUUUUUUUUUUUUUGAGGAAGAAGAAGAAGAAGAAGAAGAAAGAAAGAAAAAAAAAAAAAACAUUCCCCAGAUUUCGGAGGAAGAAGAAGGAAGAAGAAGGAAGAAGGGGAAGAAAGGGAAAGGAAGGAGGAAGGAAGGAAGAAGCAAAAGGAAGAAGCAAAAAAAAAAAAAAAAAAACAAAAACAGAAAGUUGCAGUCGGAGGAAGAAGAAGAAGAAGGAAGAAGAAGAAAAGAAAAGAAAAAAAAAAGAAAAAAAAAAACGUGGAUGACACGUGGCGCCCAAUCAGUGCGCCACGUCACAGUUAACGAAAAACUUAACAGUUUGACUAACGGAUGUAUGAGACUGUCCCAAAAUUUACACUUUAGGUAUGACUCUGAGACGAAAAAAACUUGAUGUACUAAAUGUUGAAAACCACGAAACAUUAGAGUAGUAAACAGUCUUUUACCCUUAUUUUUUUCAACAAAAGUUGCUUCACUUUAAAGUUAAGCAGUAAGAAUGUGUUUGGUAAAAAUAAAUUAUUUUGCUUAUAUUAAAAGUAAUGCAUGUCCUCCAGACAGCAACUUUUAAAAGCAGCAUGUAGGUAAAGCUGUUUUUAAUAAAAAGCAGAAUUGAGCUUUCAAUGAAUAUUUUUAAUUCCUGUAAUAUGCUCAAUAAUUUUAGAAAAUAACAUUAUUUAUUCUUGUAGGCACAUUUUAUCAUUGGAGAACAAAGUGACCACCACUAUAAACCCUAACCUCUUACACUACCAUUGCCAUGAUCACCACCAUUGUUGCCACCACCACCACACUACAAUUGCGCCACCACCACUACAACCAUACACACCACCGCUACCUUUGCCAUCAUUACCACCACACCGCCGCCGCCGCCGCCACCACCACCAUAAACACAACUGCCACCAUCAAUGUUGUUGCCACCCCUACGACCAAUGUUGCCUCUGCAGCCCAACCACCACCACCAUCCCAACCCUUACCCUUAUCACUGUUGUCGUCGUCACCACCAACAUUGUUACGUCUAUUUUUGUCAUUAUAUACAAUUAUAAAUUAUCAAACGCUUUUACGCCGUUUUUCAUACUCAACACUUUUAAAAAUACAAUUCAUCUAACACUCAACUGCUUUAUUUUGUAGCAGAUUAUUCUUAAAGCACAUCAGAAGCACUUUUUUUUAAAGCACAUCAAUCUCAAAAUGGCCGUAAGAUUAUGAGUUUUUCAAUUGAGAUAAAUAUAUAAUUUAUUUGACCAAAACGAUUUUAAAUUAUUUGUAAUAAGAUCACGCGAAAGAAGAACAUAAACGUUACACAUGAAAUUAAACCAAAGCAAAUGAUUUUCUUGGGUUUUAACACCCAUAUAUUUUUUGUUGGUUUAUCAUUUUCACCGAGCUCCACCUCAUUUAUACUUAAAGAAAUGUAUUAUGUUCCGAUCCAGAAACCAAGCUCCACCUCAUCAAUACUUGGAUAAUUUGAUGCAUUACUUUUGUUUCCUUUCUCAAUUUGGAGGCCCAAACAAGAAACAAAGCUACACUAGACAAAGACAACUGCUGUAUAGUGGGUGUUUUAGAAACUUAAAGGAAAGAAACUCAAAAGCUUCAAUUUGUUUGUCGUGCUCCUUUAACUUCCUCUUUUACUGUUAUACAAGCGAAAACAAGAGAGAUUUAAUGAGUAAAGGGAUACUUUACGCCUUGAUAUACAAGUUUAUUGUCAUGAUCUAGCAAGGUUUCUUCUAAGGAUCUUGGCUUUCUUUGUCUAUAAAGAAGUUGGGUUUUUGGUUGUUUAAUUAAUUUCUACUAGAAUUGCAAGAUAAAAAGGGAUACAAACACUACAAGAAAGCCGGGCUUAUGUGACGACAGAUAUUCGUCAUAGAAAAUAAAAAUGCGUCACAUUUGAUAAUAUGUGACGCCUUUACAGCGUCACUGCGAACGUCACCUAUGAUGCGUCACGGAAAGUAUAAGUGACUAAUUUUAAAAGCGCCACAUAUUUGUAGUAUAUGUGACACUGUUUUCGUCAAUUAAUAGGAGAUUGUGACGGAUUAGGCGUCACAAAAGAAUAAAUUAUGUGACCUAUAUAAUUCGUAAUGUAUGAAAUAGAUAAGUGACACUGAAGGCGUCACAUUUUUCUUCCAUUUGUGGCAUAGCUUGGGUCACUUAUGUCAAAAUAAAAUAUCUAUUUUGAAAAUAUAUGUGACAAACCAAUACAAUUCCCUAUUUAUAAUAUGAUGUUACAAUUCCUUGUUUAUAAAAAAGAAUCAAUUAUGUGACCUAUAUAAUUCGUCACUUAUGAAAUAGAUAACUAACACUGAAAGCGUCACAUUUUUCUUCCAUUUAUGGCACAGCCUGGAUCACUUAUGUCAAAAUAAAAUAUCUAUUUUGGAAAUAUAUGUGACAAACCAAUACAUAUUCCCUGUUUAUAAUCUGAUAUUACAAUUCAUUGUUUAUAAAAAAGAAUAAAUUACAUGACCUAUAUAAUUUGUCACUUAUGAAAUAGAUAAGUGACGCUGAAAGUGUCACAUUUUUCUUCCAUUUGUGGCGUAGCCUGGGUCAUUUAUGUCAAAAUAAAAUACCUAUUUUGGAAAUAUAUGUGAUAGACCAAUACAUAUUCCCUGUUUAUAAAGGAUCAAGGGACAAACAUUUUGACAAACAUAUAUAUAUAUAUAUAUAUAAUAUAUAUAUGUUUUUUUUUUUAAGAUGAUAACAUUUCCUGAAUAAAACUGAGAAGAUAUAUAAACCGGCAAGCAAGUUUAUUUAUCUUAAGAAAGUAACAGUAUUUCCAUAUUCACUUUCAGGUUAUUACAACUUUGACGUCGAAAAAAUAAGAACAUUUAGGGAAGAUGUUUUUCUCAUAAGUUAGGGUUUCUUCAAUGUUUGUCGGUUUCUUUACCUAAGUAAGUUUUUAUCUGUCAAAUUAGUUACGAAGGCUUACUGUCAAAUUGAAUGAAAGGUAAUGAAAGCAGAAAAUAGAAAACAAAAUAUCGGAGUUGACUAUUGGUAGGAUGAAUUUGAGUUAAAUUUCUUUGAAAACUUUAAAAUUGACAAGGAUUACCAAAACUAUACAAUUACCACAUAACAAGAACACAAAGGAAACUACGAGCUUGUUUGGUAUCCUAUUUGAAAAUUAUUGUCAUUUCUCAAAACAUUUCUUGAAAACAAUUUUCUUUAAGACUAAAAAACUUGACUGGUUUGCGAUUUACAAUUUUUAAAUCUUACAACUAAAAUUAGGCAAAGAGAUCUAAAAAGAGGGGAUCGUAGGAGAGGGAGAAAGAGGAGAGAAGAGGAAAGAAAGCAAGAGAUGAUUGAAGAAAAGAGAAAGAAGAGAGAGAAUCGAACAAAAGAGAGAGGAAGAGGAGUGAGAGAAAGAACAUAGAGAAUGAAAAGAGCAGAUUGAAAGAGAGACGAAACAUGUAAAAAAAUAAAAAUAAAGAGGAGAGAGAGAGAGAAGAAAAGAGAGAGAUUUGGAGUGAGAGGGGAGAAGGGAGAGAAGAAAAAAAAGUGUGAGUUUAAGUUUAAAAACUCUAAAAACUCACUUUUUAUGUUUUUAGAUAAUAGACUAUAUUUUUGAGUUAGUCUUGAGUUUAGUUUUUUAAGUAGUCUUACCAAAGACUAAAACUUGAAAAUUGUUUUUGAGUUUAAAAAAUUGGAUUCAAGGAAAGUAUCAAACAGACGCUAAAAAACUUGAAACAAAAGUUUACAAACAAACAACCAACGACAUAAGGAAAACAGACUGCAUACUUUUAUUUACACCAUUUUGUAGUACCCUCAAAACUAAUUGGCAAGUUAUUUAAUUACCAUAAGUGAUAAUGCUGUCCAUAAUCUUGGCCACUACCUCCUUAGAAUCCCUAAGCUUUUUUAUGCUUUUGUUAAGCUUCUCACGCUUUACUGCCAUUGCCGGCGACUCCUCCAACAUCCUCUCGAUUCCCCCAUCGUAAUGUCCCAUCAACUCAUUCAUAAUCUCAGCUUCCAUCUCUUUGUUCACAAGGUUAAAAACAGACAGCUGCAAGUGCAAUGCCAUGAAGUCCACAAACCUCCUCAAAACAACCUUCCAAUAGGCAGUCAUUCUCAUUUUAAGGUCAUAAGCUUGAGCUAAAACAUGCGGUUACUUCCUCAGAACACCGACUUCAACUUCCCCGAUGCCUUCUAUAGCUAUGAUAGAAGGUUUAUUCUCGUCAGUUAAGACUCCAUGAAUGAAAACAUUUUGACUAGCCAUCAACUUGUUCCAUUCGGAAAC